Molecule: non-coding RNA, 395 nt
Organism: Arachis ipaensis
Lineage: Eukaryota; Viridiplantae; Streptophyta; Magnoliopsida; Fabales; Fabaceae
Source: RefSeq, a predicted model, not a curated record
AUUCAUUCAUACUGCGUUCUGCACCUCUGAACGCUUCCCAUAUCCUUUUCUUUGUUCCUUCAAAUCACAACUCUGUUAUAUUUGAAGACGGUGGAUCGCGGCUUCCACUCUUCAAGCUUCCAUCGAUACAGAAGGAAAACAUAGAUCUUGGUGGUUCAGCAAUAAAAGAUGCAUGUAUAUUCAUCUUGGAGCUUUGAAAGGAGAAGAUGAACCUUCCCAAUGAGUGAGAGAACUUGAAAGCAAAAAGUGUGUUUUUGUUCUCUUCUUCUCAAUGUGAUCCUCAGAAACAUUAUCUUUAAUUUGUGACAUUGGCUGAUCAUUAUCAUCAUCACCAGAAACAAGCAAGCAAGAAUGAUAAGCGGAAAAACAUUGCAAACAGAAGUAAUUAAAGUGAG